RNAcentral lists this ribosomal RNA (218 nucleotides) under uncultured bacterium. RNAcentral describes it as "partial 16S ribosomal RNA". It matches the Rfam family "Bacterial small subunit ribosomal RNA", at positions 96 to 334 of the family's 1533-position model. The record is from RNAcentral.
UGGCGGACGGGUGAGUAACACGUGAGAACCUGCCUUGAGUUGGGGACAACAGAGGGAAACUUCUGCUAAUACCCAAUGUGCCGAAAGGUGAAAGAAAUUCGCCUCAAGAGGGGCUCGCGUCUGAUUAGCUAGUUGGAGAGGUAAAGGCUCACCAAGGCGACGAUCAGUAGCUGGUCUGAGAGGAUGACCAGCCACACUGGGACUGAGACACGGCCCAG